Molecule: RNA transcript, 1787 nt
Organism: Malania oleifera
Lineage: Eukaryota; Viridiplantae; Streptophyta; Magnoliopsida; Santalales; Ximeniaceae
Gene name: metal tolerance protein 11
Exons: 7
Source: RefSeq, a predicted model, not a curated record
UUUCUCUACACUCGUUUUCACAACUCUGUUUUACUCGCGUCUCUCUUCCCCGGCUCGAAAACUUCCGCUCACUCCAACAACCACCGCAGCCGUCCACAGAAUUCCCGAAAUGCCCUUCGGUUCUCGUUAGAUUUUCGAACAUAACCGCACUCUACCGGAUUCGGAGCCUGUCCUCUCUCUCAUCCCUAGGGUUUAGCCCGCCGGAAAAUGGCAGAACCUCUGACUCUGAACGGCGAUGCCGACGCCUCCGAGGAGCGUCUGCUCUUGGUGGACUCUAACAAUGGCGAUCGUUCCUGGCGGUUGAACUUCGACGGCGUUGAGCUCUCCGAGCACAAAGAGAAGAAGCCCCCUCGAGGCCUUCACGACUACCUCGGGGUUUUAGUUACAGAAGAUACUGUUGCGGAGUAUUACCAGCAGCAGGUAGAAAUGCUGGAGGGCUUUAAUGAAAUGGAUGCAUUAGCAGAGCGAGGUUUUGUUCCUGGGAUGUCAAAGGAAGAACAAGAGAAGUUGGCCAGAAGUGAGACAACUGCCAUUAGAAUAUCAAAUGUUGCAAACAUGGUGCUAUUUGCUGCCAAAGUUUAUGCAUCUAUCAGGAGUCGUUCGUUGGCCAUAAUUGCAUCUACAUUAGAUUCACUUCUUGACCUUCUUUCAGGCUUUAUCUUGUGGUUUACCGCAUUCUCUAUGCAGACUCCAAAUCCAUAUCAAUACCCUAUUGGGAAGAAACGUAUGCAGCCUCUGGGAAUUCUUGUUUUUGCUUCUGUCAUGGCAACUCUGGGACUGCAGAUAAUCAUGGAGUCUUUGCGCACGCUAUUUUCUGAUGAGGUUGAGUUCAGCUUGACAAAAGAUCAAGAGCAAUGGGUUGUGGGCAUUAUGAUUUCAGUGACUUUGGUAAAACUCCUGUUGGUUCUUUAUUGUCGCUCAUUUACCAAUGAGAUUGUCAAAGCUUAUGCUCAGGAUCAUUUUUUCGAUGUCAUCACCAAUGUCAUUGGUCUCAUUGCUGCUCUCCUUGCUAAUUAUUUUAAUGAUUGGAUAGACCCCUUUGGAGCUAUUAUUUUGGCCUUGUACACCAUCCGGACAUGGUCAAUGACAGUGCUGGAAAAUGUGAACUCCCUAGUGGGAAAAUCAGCUGCACCAGAAUACCUUCAAAAGCUCACAUACCUUUGUUGGAAUCACCACAAAGCCGUAAAGCACAUUGACACUGUUCGGGCUUACACUUUUGGGUCUCACUACUUUGUGGAGGUUGACAUUGUCCUUCCUGCGAGCAUGCAUUUGCAAGAGGCACAUGACAUUGGAGAAUCCUUGCAGGUGAAGCUUGAGCUCCUGCCUGAGAUUGAGCGCGCCUUUGUACAUCUCGAUUAUGAGUACUCACAUAAACCAGAGCAUGCACAGGCACAGUCAUAGUGGCAGGAGAACUCACUGUGAUCCACUUGACUUGUGUUCCCGAACCACCAAGCCAGCAUUGACUUGGUUUGAGCAUAAACAACCAGUUUUUGGAGGCAGGCUGUUCUGAAUAUAAUAGCGGCAGGAUUGGGGUCUAAAGCCUAAAUGCUAUUUGAACUAGCUUCUCAUUUUAGCAGUGGUCUACCGGUGAGCUGUAGUUGCAGUGCUGCACUUUAGGAGAUGCCUCUUGGAAUGAGAUGUUUUUUUCUAUUGUGAAAAAACACACACACACAUAUAUAUAUAUAUAUAUAUUUUGUUGGCAGUAUCAUAACUAUUGCUCAUAUUUGCCUGUGUUUUUUUGGGCCAUCUACUGUUAAAAUUAUUAAAAUCUUUUAAUUUUUUUCAAA